GUCAGAGGUGAAAUUCUUGGAUUUAUGGAAGACAUACAGCUGCGAAAGCGUUUGGCAAGGAUAUACCCAUUGAUCAAGGACGAAAGUUAGGGGAUCGAAGACGAUUAGAUACCGUCGUAGUCUUAACCAUAAACGAUGCCAUCUAAGAGAUGGUGUCAUCCUUUUUUUCCGGGAAACCAAAGCUUUUGGGUUCUGGGGGGAGUAUGAUCGCAAGUCUGAAACUUAAAGGAAUUGACGGAAGGGCACCACCAGGAGUGGAGCCUGCGGCUUAAUUUGACUCAACACGGGGCAACUUACCAGGUCCGGACAUUUUUAUGAUUGACAGAUUGAUAGCUCUUUCUUGAUUGAAUGGGUGGUGGUGCAUGGCCGUUCUUAGUUGGUGGAGUGAUUUGUCUGGUUAAUUCCGUUAACGAACGAGACCUUUUUCCUGCUAACUAGUUAACUUCUUAGAGGUACUAUUCGUUUUUCACGGAUGGAAGUUGUAGGCAAUAACAGGUCUGUGAUGCCCUUUGAUGUCCUGGGCUGCACGCGGGCUACACUGAUGCAUUCAAAGAGUUCUGACAAGAGUUAUUUUGGGUAAUCUUUGAAAGUGCAUCGUGCUUGGGAUUGAAUUCUGUAACUGUAUUCAUGAACGAGGAAUUCCUUGUAAACGCGAGUCAUCAACUUGCGUUGAUUACGUCCCUGCCCUU
This 689-nucleotide ribosomal RNA is filed under the name Galdieria sulphuraria. Its description in RNAcentral is "SSU rRNA". It matches the Rfam family "Eukaryotic small subunit ribosomal RNA", at positions 904 to 1660 of the family's 1831-position model. The record is from RNAcentral. Lineage: Eukaryota; Rhodophyta; Bangiophyceae; Galdieriales; Galdieriaceae.